GGAGAGGGAGAAGUGAAAAUGUGCAUUUCUUCAUACUCUAGCUGUCCUUCCUGCCUGUCAGAAUGCUGCUUCUCUCAUGGGUGUCCCUGCUGAGUGCUGUCUUGACAGGUUCUGGAGCUUUCUUUGCACAUGGCCUUCCGCUGUGUGAGCUAAUAGGCGCCCUCAGAGGGAAAGUCUUCCUUAAGCUAUUUAAAGUCUUAAAAAGCUACAGGAAAGCUUUAAAAAUGCUUCUGAUUUGAGUGUAUUUGAAAUGGAUUUUUCUCUUAAGAUACUUCCCUCUCUCUGUAUAAUUUGUAGACUUGUCAUAUAAAGGAAUGGUUAGUGUUCUAGGAACAGUUGUGAAACCUGUCUGGACUUGAUCAUUGUUCACUGUUCACUAUGUUCUAGAAGAAUGGAUCCUUACAGAAUCACUGAAGCUAUGGGCUACCCAGCCUCAGGAAGGAGAACAGGCUUCCCAGCCACCUGUUGCAACACCCUUCCAUUCCCAUGCUGUUAUUAAAUAGAGCUUCCUUUCACUGACCUCUAAUGCAGCUGGUGUUGAGUUAGCUGUGCUUGCUGUCCUCAUUGCCCUGCACUGCUGUGUGAGGCCUCGCUCUCUGGCCAGACCUUACUGUUCGCUUGCGCUAUUCAGAGCAUCUGCCCACCAUUACCUAGGGAUUAGCCGCACUGGCUGUAAAACCGUAUUAAUUUAGGAAUUGUUAGUGUACAGUCAAGGAUGUUGUGAUGAUUAAAUUUGCCAGUGUCAAUGGUAAGCAUACGCCUGCUAUUUCUACACCAUAAAUGUCGAUAUACUUUUUUUCUUUUUUUUUAAUUUAAUUUAUUUUAAAAUUAAAAUAUAAUAAAUCUCCCUCCUUUGCUUUCCUCCCUCCAACCCCUUCCAUAUUCCCCCAGAACCUUCUCAAAUCGAUGACUUCUUUUUUUAUUAUUGUCACCUAUACAGGGAUGAACAACUUUGAGUCCAUUCUCGUUGAUUAUGUGUGUAUGACUUUGGGCUGACCACUUGUGUGGGAUAACCACUAAUGGGGCUCUGUUCUUGGAGAGGCUAACUCCCCUUCUCUCAGCAGCCACUAGCUACCUGUAGUCUUUGAGUGAACUUCCUUGUUCUGUGUAGCUUGUCUGCUGAUGCUGUCAUUGUUUGGGCAGCUCUUUCACAGCAGACUCUCCAGUCCUCUGGCUCGUACUGUCUUUCCACUGCUCUUCUGAAAUAUCCCCUGAACCUUAGGUACAGGAGUUGUAUUGAAGAUAUAUCCAUUGGGACUGGGCUUCCCAUUGUGUUCAGUUGUGUGCUAGCCUUCUCUUUCUCCCCCUCCCUCCCUCUCCUCUCCCUCUCUUCCUCCGUCCUUCUCUCCUUCCCUCUCUCCCUCCCUCUCAAGAUCUAUUUGAUUAUUUUAUAUGUAUCAGUGUUUUGUUUGUUUGUAUGUAUGCCCGGCACAUGUAUGCUGGGUCAGAAGAAGGUGUUGAAUCCCUUGGGAUUGGAGUUACAGAUGAUUGUGAGCCACCAUGUGGGUCCUGGAUAGCGAACCCAGGGCCUCUGCAAGAGCAGCAAGCGUUGUUAACUACUGAGCCAGUUCUCGCCCCGGUUGUGUUUUCUGUAAUGGUCACUAUUUGCUAUAAAGAGAAGUUUCUUUGAUGAGAAAGGAGAGAUACACUUACCUGUGCAUACAAGGAUAAGCUUUAGACUACAGUUAGAAAUUAUGCGGUAAGAUGGCGCAUAGUAGUAGUUCUCUUCUGAGAUCCUUGACCUUAGGAGUUCAGAGUAGUUGGCAUGUUUUCCCUCCUGUUGAGUGUGCAUUAAGUCCAAUCUGACAACUGUUGGGUCCCACAAAGAUUUCGGUUAGUAUGGUUGCACCUUUAGGUAUUUGCUUAGCUGGUCAGUGUUCUGAUUCAUAGGUACCACACUGUAUAGAAUCAGUUGAAUCCCUUCCUUGAUGGCUUACAUAGUACUUUCUGGCACUGUGGAAGCCAGAGCACAGGAAGGAGGCUUUCAGGUUCUAUCCAGCUUGAUUUAUUGUAGUCCUCUAGAUCCUGUGUGCUGGGUUUUCGGCAACAGUGUCUUCCCUUCAACAUCUGUGAGGCAACUGAGGGCAACAGCAAUAUUAUAUCCUAUAUUAUUUUGGAAAUCACUUGCAUUACCACGAGCAACAACUUGAAUGGAGAUUUCUCAUGCCUGGUACUAGGGCAUUUUGCUAGGUAAGCUAGGUUCUUGUAGGGAGCUUUGUCAGCCCAAAGCCCAACUGAUGUAACUUCCUUUAACAUAGUUGUGGGUGUGUGCACACAUGCACAUACAUUUACAUACAUUGCAUAUAAUUUAAUUUUAGGUAAAUAUAAAAUAGUAUGAUCCCUUGAGGUUUUAUAGACCAGCCUUGGUAUUGUCAUUCAGCCCUUCUAUGUUGAUCACCUUCUUCCUCCCCCAGUUCCCCUUCCAGUUAGAGCCUUCCUCGCCAUCUCCCCCAUUUUCUCCUUCAUACUAUACUUGGUGACCUCCUUUCUUUCGGAUGAAGCAUCAAGGUGUGUGUGUGUGUGUGUGUGUGUGUGUGUGUGGUGUUUGUUUGGUUUUUGGUUUUUGAGAUAGGGGUUCUCUGUGUCUCUGUGUCUCUCUGCUACACAGAGACAUCCUAUCUUUAAAAAAAUUUUUUUUCAUACAAUGUAUUUUCAUCAUAUUUUUUUCCUUCCUCCCAACUUACUAUUCUUUUUCUCUCACUAAAAACAAAAC
RNAcentral lists this long non-coding RNA (2713 nucleotides) under Mus musculus (house mouse). RNAcentral's name for it is "long non-coding RNA chr9:113837133-113839846". Lineage: Eukaryota; Metazoa; Chordata; Mammalia; Rodentia; Muridae. The record is from RNAcentral.